Non-coding RNA from Salmo salar (Atlantic salmon), 545 nucleotides. The record is from the annotation of a RefSeq genome assembly. NCBI's taxonomy places the organism in Eukaryota, Metazoa, Chordata, Actinopteri, Salmoniformes, Salmonidae.
ACCUCUAGAGGGCGGUCUAUGCAAAGUCUCCCUCCCGUUUAUCCCUUUAUAAUCAGACACUCAGCACUGGCCUUCUCAUUAUAGCCAGUGUGGAUUGAUUCGGUAGCAAGCACUGCAUAUAACCUGACUAUCACUGAACAAUGAGGACUGUCUGGAGUUUAGUACUCAUGGUGGUGUUUGUAAAAAGUGUUCAGGGUCAGACACUAACUGAGUCUGGACCAGUUGUUAAAAAGCCUCAGGAAUCCCACAAACUGACCUGUACAGCCUCUGGUUUUACUUUCAGUAGCUACUGGAUGGCUUGGAUCAGACAGGCUCCUGGGAAAGGACUGGAGUGGGUGUCCUAUAUUAGCAGUGAUGGUGGCAGCACUUACUACCCCCAGUCUGUUCAGGGUCGGUUCACCAUCUCCAGAGACAACAGCAAGCAGCAGGUGUAUCUCCAAAUGAACAGCCUGAAGACUGAAGACUCUGCUGUUUAUUAUUGUGCCAGAGACACAGUGACACAGGAGGCUGCAGCACCGUACAAAAACUGAUCAACACUGAUCUCA